UUUGAGGAGUUGCGGGGAUCGUCGCCGGCGAAUGUCUGAGCAGACGGAUGCCUCUUCAGGUUUGAAGAUGGCUUUGAAGAGAGAGAAAACGAGAGCUUCAUCGUCGCUGGAAUCGGUGACAGCGACGGGAACAACGUCGGCGAAUUUGCCGGUAUCUGGGUAGAAGCCGAGAAAAGGACUUCCGUACCGGGAAACGAGAAUAGAAGAAUGAUCAAUGCGAGUAUACUUG
RNAcentral lists this unclassified non-coding RNA (229 nucleotides) under Hevea brasiliensis (rubber tree). The record is from RNAcentral. Lineage: Eukaryota; Viridiplantae; Streptophyta; Magnoliopsida; Malpighiales; Euphorbiaceae.